This 417-nucleotide ribosomal RNA is filed under the name uncultured eukaryote. Its description in RNAcentral is "bacterial SSU rRNA". It matches the Rfam family "Eukaryotic small subunit ribosomal RNA", at positions 592 to 1018 of the family's 1831-position model. The record is from RNAcentral.
CAAUAGCGUAUAUUAAAGUUGUUGCAGUUAAAAAGCUCGUAGUUGGAGUUCAGAGUGAGCUCAGCCGGUCGGCCUUAUGGGUCAGAACUGGUUGACUCUCUCUUGUUUGUGGAUCCCUUCGGAGUUAACUCUUCGGAUGUGGAGUCCACAUCGUUUACCUUGAAAAAUUAGAGUGUUCAAAGCAGGCGUUUGCUUGAAUAUAUUAGCAUGGAAUAAUGGAAUAGGACGCUGGUUCUAUUUUGUUGGUUUCUAGGACCGAAGUAAUGAUUAAUAGGGACAGUUGGGGGCAUUUUUAUUCCAUUGUCAGAGGUGAAAUUCUUGGAUUAACGGAAGAAAAACUACUGCGAAAGCAUCUGCCAAGGAUGUUUUCAUUAAUCAAGAACGAAAGUUAGGGGAUCAAAGACGAUCAGAUACCGU